RNAcentral lists this unclassified non-coding RNA (1727 nucleotides) under Leishmania donovani. RNAcentral's name for it is "gene:LdHU3.29.2900(CDS-product:hypothetical_prote in_conserved)". Lineage: Eukaryota; Euglenozoa; Kinetoplastea; Trypanosomatida; Trypanosomatidae. The record is from RNAcentral.
AUCGGCGCUCGCACAGACGAAACAGGCGGUGAUGUCCCCGGUCGCCGCGCAGCAGUUCAAAUCGAAUGCUCUGUUUCGUGUUCUUGCCUUCCUCGACAACACCGGCGCACAGGCCUUUGCACUAGACGCCGAGGUCGACGAGGCCGGUAGCUUUCGGAAUCCGGAGAGCGUGUUCGCCGCGGAUGCCGCCAUCACCGGCGUUCUCACAGCGGCGCUGGAUGCACUGCGAGCCAAUGUGCGUCGUCUCUUCACAGACGCCGCAGAGCAGCACGCAUUACUAGCUGUGCUGGGUACCGGCGCGCCGGAACAGUCAAAGAAGGCGUCCCUGUGGAUCACCGCCACCCCCGCGCCGUUACCGCUCGAAGAGGGCGGCACCGCGCCGGCGGGCUUGAGCAGUGACGAGGCCCUGCAGCAGCAGGAAUCCUCCUCCAUCCCGCUUUCCUCGGCACCCGUAAGCACUGCCUGGAGCGAAGCCGUGUUGCAUCCCACCUCUCUCGCGCACUACGCAGACGAUGUCGAAAACGAGAUUCCGAUCCACUUGCUGGUUCGGCUACGCGAGGUGCUCGGCAUCCCCGCGGCGCCACUGUGCUGCUGCAACUGUUCUCCUUUUGUGGAGCAGUUCCUCAUCGACGGGCUUGACGAGUGGCUUCGCCGCUGCCGGGUCGAUGAGGUGAAGCGGAUGAUACUAGCGUGCGGCGUUCAGCCUACGGUGCUGAACUCGACGUUCAUGCGGCAGCAGCAGGCAGCCGAUGCACAAGACGCCGCCCUGUCCGAUGCUCUGGCAGAUUUCGUGGUGGACGUUGUCUUCCCUGUGCCCGCACACGCCGGCAAGGUGUCGGCGAACGCGUCGAGUGCCGCCGCCGCGGAGGCGCUCCAAGACUGGCUCAUCCUAUCCUUCGAGAAGAACCACGAGGCCGUUGACAUCGACGACGAGAACGCUUCGGCGAACGGGCAAAGUGGCAGCAGCGACAACAGCGGCACGAACAGCCAAGGCGAGAGGAAGCGCACCCGCACAGACGACACGCGUCCUUCGGCAGACAACCGUGACGGUCUCGGCUCGUGGGAACCGGCAAAGGGCGAGGAGGUGCUUACGGCUGAGAACAUUGAUCGAUAUCUGCUGGAGUGCCCGCGGCGUAUUCCCAAAGAGAUCCUGCGAGAGAAGCGGAAACGCAUCUCUGACGCAAGCAUCACUGAGUUUGAGCUGGAUCAUCACUACACAGCCGCCGAGCUCAAGAAGCUCGUGAAGGAGGGUCUGGGCGCCAUGACAGCGUCUGAGGCGACGGACUUUAUGGAGUGCCCGGUGACAGAGGCCCAGGUGCAGCAAGCAGCACGAAUGACGCGCAAGGCGCAGUUUGUGGCGUGGAUACUGUCUGUUCACAAAGCUGCGGUACAGCAGCAGUCCCGCGAGUAGGGCGCCGAUGCGGCUGUGCCCUCGCUCUCUCCCGGUAGGUAUGCUUGCAUCUCUUCAACAGUACUACCCCUGGCCCCCACGUGUGUUGUUGUUGGUGUUCUUCGUCCCUGAUGACGUCAGUCAUUUCACUGUUGCAUCAGGGUCCAGUCCCCACUCUUUCUGGGGAGGCCCACGGAGGCUGCAGCCUGCGCCUGGGGUACGGCUGCGUGCUCUUGGUGUCGGCAAACCAGUCUGGGCCGGCACUUCGCUAAAGCGGGUUGCGGUCAUUAUCGCGUUUGUGAGGCCAGAUCACGACGAAUCAUGUCGACGACUCAAC